Molecule: ribosomal RNA, 459 nt
Filed under: uncultured bacterium
Lineage: Bacteria
Description: partial 16S ribosomal RNA
Rfam family: Bacterial small subunit ribosomal RNA
Source: RNAcentral
CCUACGGGCGGCAGCAGUGAGGAAUAUUGGUCAAUGGGCGGGAGCCUGAACCAGCCAAGUCGCGUGAGGGAAGAAGGUACUGCGUAUUGUAAACUUCUUUUGUCAGGGAACAAAGGCGGGGACGAGUCCCCGGAUGAGGGUACCUGAAGAAAAAGCAUCGGCUAACUCCGUGCCAGCAGCCGCGGUAAUACGGAGGAUGCGAGCGUUAUCCGGAUUUAUUGGGUUAAAAGGGGGCGCAGGCGGACUGUUAAGUCAGCGGUAAAAGCCCGGGGCUCAACCCCGGCCAGCCGUGUAAACUGGCGUGCUGGAGUUGGAGAGAAGUACGCGGAAUGCGCGGUGUAGCGGUGAAAUGCUUAGAUAUCACGCAGAACCCCGAUUGCGAAGGCAGCAUACCGGCUCCACACUGACGCUGAGGCACGAAAGCGUGGGUAUCGAACAGGAUUAGAUACCCCUGUAGUC